CUGGUAAAUAGUCUAGUGACUCUAUUUCAAUAAUCAUCAGAAGUAUUAAGAAAUGAAAGUUUAUUAAAAUUCUGCAUGGUUUCUGCUUUCAGUUAGUGCACUGCAAUUAUCAUCAGUUCAGAAUAGGUAUACUAGUAUGUCAAAUAGGUUAACGAAAUUGUCAUAGUUCUUCAUCUUUAUUGUUGAUAUAAGUAACACAUGUGAUCAGUUCUGGUGUCCAUGAAAUAUCAUCAUCAAAUUUUCUUCCUUUCACUAUUAUUUACAGUUCUCCAGUCCCAAUGUUAAAUAUGUUCUAUUAUGCAUACAAAACUUAAAUUAUAAAACUAUUUACAUGGAAACGUAUUUAUUUUCCAUGAAUUUGAAAUUAUUUUGCCUUAAAAAUGGCUUUAUUUUGAUUUGCACAGAUUAAUCACA
Molecule: long non-coding RNA, 414 nt
Filed under: Mytilus galloprovincialis (Mediterranean mussel)
Lineage: Eukaryota; Metazoa; Mollusca; Bivalvia; Mytilida; Mytilidae
Source: RNAcentral